Long non-coding RNA from Etheostoma spectabile (orangethroat darter), 312 nucleotides. RefSeq lists it as uncharacterized. The record is from RefSeq and is a predicted model, not a curated record. The transcript has 2 exons. Lineage: Eukaryota; Metazoa; Chordata; Actinopteri; Perciformes; Percidae.
CUGAUGACCUGUGAGGACGAAAGCUGUACGCCUUCGAUGAAGAGGAAGAGGAGCUGCACAUGGUGGCUGAGAACCUGGAGGAGCUCUCUGAGAAGGGACUGAGUAUCCAUCAUCUGAGAGCUACUACAAAGGAGAGGCCUUCAAAGAUAUGACGGAGAAGGACUGGGCCAAGGUGAAGAAAGGAGAUGUGGGUCAGCAGCUGGAAGCAGAGCAUCGUAAACUGGUGGCAGCAAACAAGUCCAAACUUCUGGAGAAACUCGGAUCAGUUAAAGCUACUGUCUGAGCUGUGGUUCAGUAUCUGUUAGAGGAAAA